GGUAAUUCCAGCUCCAAUAGCGUAUAUUAAAGUUGUUGCAGUUAAAACGUCCGUAGUCAAAUUUUAGUCUUUAGAUGAGGUGGCCUGGUCUUCAUUGAUCAAGCUCGCUUUUAUCGAGACUUUUUUUCUGGUUAUGCUAUGAAUAGCUUCGGUUGUUUAUAGUCUCUAGCCAGAUGAUUACCAUGAGCAAAUCAGAGUGUUUAAAGCAGGCUUUUAAGCUUGAAUGUGUUAGCAUGGAAUAAUGAAAUAUGACUUUAGUCCCUAUUUCGUUGGUUCAGGAACUUAAGUAAUGAUGAAUAGAAACGGUUGGGGACAUUUGUAUUUGGUCGCUAGAGG
Molecule: ribosomal RNA, 336 nt
Filed under: uncultured Mucor
Lineage: Eukaryota; Fungi; Mucoromycota; Mucoromycetes; Mucorales; Mucoraceae
Description: SSU rRNA
Rfam family: Eukaryotic small subunit ribosomal RNA
Source: RNAcentral